AAGCUCGUAGUUGAAUUUCGGGGUUAGUAGGUUGGUUCAUGCCUCUGGUAUGUACUGGUCUCACUGAUUCCUCCUUCCUUAUGAACCGUAAUGCCAUUAAUUUGGUGUUGCGGGGAAUUUGGACUGUUACUUUGAAAAAAUUAGAGUGUUUAAAGCAAGCUAACGCUUGAAUACAUUAGCAUGGAAUAAUGAAAUAGGACGUUCGAUCUUAUUUUGUUUGGUUUUCUUAGGUAUUGACGUAAUGAUUAAUAGGGAUAGUUGGG
This 263-nucleotide ribosomal RNA is filed under the name uncultured Glomus. RNAcentral's name for it is "partial 18S ribosomal RNA". It matches the Rfam family "Eukaryotic small subunit ribosomal RNA", at positions 624 to 886 of the family's 1831-position model. Lineage: Eukaryota; Fungi; Glomeromycota; Glomeromycetes; Glomerales; Glomeraceae. The record is from RNAcentral.